CAGUAGCCACGGGAAUACGGAGGGUGCGAGCGUUAACCGGAAUAACUGGGCGUAAAGGGCACGCAGGCGGUGACUUAAGUGAGGUGUGAAAGCCCCGGGCUUAACCUGGGAAUUGCAUUUCAUACUGGGUCGCUAGAGUACUUUAGGGAGGGGUAGAAUUCCACGUGUAGCGGUGAAAUGCGUUGAGAUCGGAAAGAACACCAACGGCGAAAGCACUCUGCUGGGCCGACACUGACACUGAGAGACAAAAGCUAGGGGAGCAAAUGGGAUUAGAUACCCCCGUAGUCCCUGUCUCUUAUAC
Molecule: ribosomal RNA, 301 nt
Filed under: uncultured bacterium
Lineage: Bacteria
Description: partial 16S ribosomal RNA
Rfam family: Bacterial small subunit ribosomal RNA
Source: RNAcentral